Molecule: long non-coding RNA, 587 nt
Filed under: Monodelphis domestica (gray short-tailed opossum)
Lineage: Eukaryota; Metazoa; Chordata; Mammalia; Didelphimorphia; Didelphidae
Description: lncRNA (ENSMODG00000038166.1)
Source: RNAcentral
AGGAACAGCAUGUUGUGGUUCCAUGUUCUACUAAAAUUCUGAAGGGUCUCCUGUGUCAUCAAAUGUUUGACUACUCACCUGAUGGCUCCCGGCCCGACCCACCCCAGCGGUCUGUCUCUCACCCAUCUGGCCUCUGACCGAGACGGCUCAUCACCCCAGGCCCAGACCCAGGAGCAUGACCCCAGCCGGCUCAUCACCCAGAUCCUUGGAGUAGAUCACUCAGGACUCAUUGCGACCAGCUGGGCACAGCAAUGGAAUGUGCCUUCUGGCCUUGCAUACUUUUGACAACAGGAGAGGCAAGUUUUCCUAGUCUUCAUUCUGAUAGUGGAGACAAAAAGAGUAGGGUGACAAUUACUACUGGAUUGCAGGACAAAGGAAGAAAAAAUGAGAAGAAAUUAAAACUCAGCCCUCCUCUCUAUCUACUUAAAAUGUAGCUCAGAUGAGUACUUCAUUCAUAAAGGGAUAGGAAUCAGAGAAAGUAACUUGUCUUAUAUUCAACCUCAUAACCAAUUCCAAGAAGUCCCUACAAAGAAACAUACAAAAGCAAGGGUGUAUAAGGUCCAUCAGCUAGAAGAGGCAGAUAUAAU